GGGGCUGUGGCUCAGUGGUAGAGCAGCUGCUUGGCAUGCAGAUGAUCCCAGGUUCAAUCCCAGGCAUCUCCA
Molecule: transfer RNA, 72 nt
Filed under: Sphaerodactylus townsendi
Lineage: Eukaryota; Metazoa; Chordata; Lepidosauria; Squamata; Sphaerodactylidae
Description: tRNA-Ala
Rfam family: tRNA
About the family: Transfer RNA (tRNA) molecules are approximately 80 nucleotides in length. Their secondary structure includes four short double-helical elements and three loops (D, anti-codon, and T loops).
Source: RNAcentral